Molecule: long non-coding RNA, 310 nt
Filed under: Elaeis guineensis (African oil palm)
Lineage: Eukaryota; Viridiplantae; Streptophyta; Magnoliopsida; Arecales; Arecaceae
Description: long non-coding RNA (EGUI_LNC036746)
Source: RNAcentral
UUGACUCCACAGGCAUACCAGUCAUAGUUUCAAGCUUUCAUGCAAACAAAACCUAAGAUUUUGGAUCUAAGAUUUUGCAGAAAUUAAGUUUUAGAUCGUGUGUCAAAUAAUAUAUCACAUAUAAUAUUAAUCGAUCUAAAACAUAUAAAAAUACAUGUAUAAUCUGAUUUAAAUCUAAAAUAUAGAUCAUAUAUAAAUUUUUCAUUCAUUGUUCAUCUUCAUGGGAAAUAUCACAAUCAACACCCCUACACGUCAUAAGAGAGAACCCAUCGAAUGGACAAGGAAGGAAUUUUAAUCCCUUCAUCAUCUU